Molecule: ribosomal RNA, 497 nt
Filed under: uncultured bacterium
Lineage: Bacteria
Description: partial 16S ribosomal RNA
Rfam family: Bacterial small subunit ribosomal RNA
Source: RNAcentral
GAUGAACGCUGGCGGCGUGCCUAAUACAUGCAAGUCGAGCGAACAGACGAGGAGCUUGCUCCUCUGACGUUAGCGGCGGACGGGUGAGUAACACGUGGAUAACCUACCUAUAAGACUGGGAUAACUUCGGGAAACCGGAGCUAAUACCGGAUAAUAUAUUGAACCGCAUGGUUCAAAAGUGAAAGACGGUUUUGCUGUCACUUAUAGAUGGAUCCGCGCCGCAUUAGCUAGUUGGUAAGGUAACGGCUUACCAAGGCAACGAUGCGUAGCCGACCUGAGAGGGUGAUCGGCCACACUGGAACUGAGACACGGUCCAGACUCCUACGGGAGGCAGCAGUAGGGAAUCUUCCGCAAUGGGCGAAAGCUUGAUGGAGCAACGCCGCGUGAGUGAUGAAGGUCUUCGGAUCGUAAAACUCUGUUAUUAGGGAAGAACAAAUGUGUAAGUAACUAUGCACGUCUUGACGGUACCUAAUCAGAAAGCCACGGCUAACUACGUG